UGGGGUAUAACAACGUGGCAGCUCUCAGUCUUAGCUGGAAAGCUAUGAUAAGGUAGGAGUCUAUGUGCACAAGGAGGCAGAUAUGCUGUGUUUAAAAGUUGAGAUGAAGAUCAAAACUACAGCUUUUCAUGCUUUCUUGCUGCUCGCCAACCUGCAGUUACGGCCACAGUGGGACAAAAACUAUUUGAGCUGUGAAGAGGUUGAGAAAGCAGAUGAGGAGGAAACCAUUUAUCACAUUAAAUGCACCACAGUCAAAGGAAGCAAAAAUCGGGAUUUUUCGUGGUUCUGUUGUCUAAAAGGCAACCCUGCAAAGAUGGAGACCCGUAUGUUGUAGCACUCCGGUCUGUCACCAUGGCAACAGUUCCACCAGAUGAGAACUCUAUUCGGAGCGAAGUUAAAUGUGCAGGAUUCCUCGUUCACGAAAUAGGCUAUUCAGCCUGCAAGGUGUCGUACUACAACCAGGUGACUUCUGGAGUGCUGUCCUAUGUGGAGGGAAACUUAGCCGGCUGGUCCAAAUCUAUGGAAGAUACAGCAAUGUCCUGCAUUUAAUUUCUGGAGCAAGAUUUGUUGACCACACAGUUCUGAUAUGCACACAUUAGGACAACUCUAGGACAGUUAUUUAAAUAAAAAAAAAAGGUUAUGAUAACAACUGCCAUGAUUAAGUGAUCAUAAAAAGUGUCAGUUAUAGCAUUGCAUGUUUUUCUGAUGGCCUGUUUACACAAAGAAUGAUAACUAUAAAGCCAACUAUGAUGAUAUCUAUAUUAGAUGUUAUAUUAUAGUUGUAGUGUUAGAAUUAGAACAAUUAUUUAAAUUUUACAGUUUAUAAGUUUUGUCUUUGGUGUCAACGGGUCUGAAGGCUGCCAAUAAAACCAUAAAUAUCUAUGGCACAAUAU
Sinocyclocheilus anshuiensis is the source of this 893-nucleotide long non-coding RNA. RefSeq lists it as uncharacterized. NCBI's taxonomy places the organism in Eukaryota, Metazoa, Chordata, Actinopteri, Cypriniformes, Cyprinidae. The transcript has 5 exons. The record is from RefSeq and is a predicted model, not a curated record.